GAAAAGUUCAGGCAUAAAUGAUUUGCUCUAAACGACAUUCGCAUCAAUCAGAAGAACAGGUCUUGGUGUAAGCUUCGAAUUUUUCUGCUCUACAGAAAUAUCUUCGGGUAAAAAUAUUGCUCAGAAAUAACUCAACAAUGACAGGGACAAUCUACGCUCACAUUAUGAUGGCACUGAUAAUAUUUGCAUUUUUCUUCUUCGUGCAAGCCAAUGCUAUCACUCAGGAGGCAGGGCCUCCAGCCCCAAAUGUUGCCCCUCAAUGGUUCCGCUUUGAAGAACAUCAAGAACGAUGACUCAAUAUUGACAAACAAAUAAAGAUCGAUCGUUAAUAUAUUAUAUAUAUCAAUAUUUCUAUAUUAUUCUAUAAACUAGAAGUUAAAAUAAUAUUAUACAUGGUUUAAAAAGUUUGAAAAGAUUUAUAAUUGUUUGAUGUUUGAUGUUAAUAAACAGCAAUUGCUACAAACAUAAAUAACACAUAUGGUA
Styela clava is the source of this 483-nucleotide long non-coding RNA. RefSeq lists it as uncharacterized. The record is from RefSeq and is a predicted model, not a curated record. NCBI's taxonomy places the organism in Eukaryota, Metazoa, Chordata, Ascidiacea, Stolidobranchia, Styelidae.